UCCAGGCAGAAGACUGAAGAGCCAGGGCCUGA
Molecule: non-coding RNA, 32 nt
Filed under: Homo sapiens (human)
Lineage: Eukaryota; Metazoa; Chordata; Mammalia; Primates; Hominidae
Source: RNAcentral